CUCACUGAUACACUAGAAGGACUAGAGGAUUUAUUCAAAUAUGCAUCCAAGCACAUGGAAUUAAAAUCCGAUAAGUGGAUUGAUCUAGAUGUUACAACAUGGAAAAGAGAAGAAUAUAUUAAGAGCCGUCUUCAGACGGAUGGGUGGUCUUGUGGUCUCUGGAUGUUAAAUUACAUGGAGUACUUCACGGGAGAUGGUUUGUCCGACACUCCUGAACAGGUAUAUUUAGCAUCGUAUCAUGAUACUAAU
Long non-coding RNA from Triticum aestivum (bread wheat), 249 nucleotides. RefSeq lists it as uncharacterized. The transcript has 3 exons. The record is from RefSeq and is a predicted model, not a curated record. Lineage: Eukaryota; Viridiplantae; Streptophyta; Magnoliopsida; Poales; Poaceae.